CCCUUAGACGUUCUGGGCCGCACGCGCGCUACACUGGCGAAGGCAACGAGCUUUCCUUUACCGAAAGGUACGGGUAAUCUUUUGAAACUUCGUCGUGCUGGGGAUAGAUCCUUGCAAUUAUUGAUCUUAAACGAGGAAUUCCUAGUAAGCGCAAGUCAUCAACUUGCGUUGAUUACGUCCCUGCCCUUUGUACACACCGCCCGUCGCUACUACCGAUUGAAUGGUUUAGUGAGGCCUUCGGAUCCGCGACUCGUUUUGUGGAGAAGUUGGACAAACUCAGUCAUUUAGAGGAAGUAAAAGUCGUAACA
This 308-nucleotide ribosomal RNA is filed under the name uncultured eukaryote. Its description in RNAcentral is "partial 18S ribosomal RNA". It matches the Rfam family "Eukaryotic small subunit ribosomal RNA", at positions 1470 to 1796 of the family's 1831-position model. The record is from RNAcentral.